Molecule: microRNA precursor, 104 nt
Filed under: Pelobates cultripes (western spadefoot toad)
Lineage: Eukaryota; Metazoa; Chordata; Amphibia; Anura; Pelobatidae
Source: RNAcentral
AAUUGCUUAAAUUAGGGCUUUUCUUUUGCAUCAUUCAUCUGAGCAGAUAUAUAUCUCUGCUCAAAUGAAUGAUGCAAAAGAAAAGCCCUAAUUUAAGCAAUUAG